Molecule: ribosomal RNA, 1431 nt
Filed under: metagenome
Description: bacterial SSU rRNA
Rfam family: Archaeal small subunit ribosomal RNA
Source: RNAcentral
UUCCGUUGGUCCUGCGGAAGGUUGCUGUUAUCAGGUUUCGACUAAGCCAUGCAAGUUAGCUCAGCAAUGGGCAGCGAAAUGCUCAGUAACACGUCAAUAAUCUAACCUUAAGAUGGGGAUAACCUUGGGAAACUGAGGAUAAUACCCGAUAGGAGAAAUGAAUUGGAAAAUCUUUUCUCUUAAAGCUUCGGUGCUUAAGGAUGAGUUGGCGGCUGAUUAGGUUGUUGGUGGGGUAAAGGCCCACCAAGCCGGAGAUCAGUAGGGGCCUUGAGAGAGGUAGCCCCGAGAAGGACACUGAGAUACUGGUCCUAGCCCUACGGGGUGCAGCAGGCGCGAAACCUUUACAAUGCACGUAAGUGUGAUAAGGGAAACCUGAGUGCUCAUGUUUUACAUGGGCUUUUGCCAAGAGUAAAAAUCUUGGCGAAUAAGUGGUGGGCAAGACUGGUGCCAGCAGCCGCGGUAACACCAGCGCCACGAAUGGCAAUCACUAUUAUUGGGCCUAAAGCGUCCGUAGCCUGUUUAAUCCGUCUUUUGUGAAAUUGUUCAGCUCAACUGAACAACGUGCAGAAGAUACAAUUAAGACUAGGAACCGGGAGGGGUCAGAGGUAUUCUGGGGGGAGCGGUAAAAUGCUAUAAUCCCCGGAGGACCACCUGUGGCGAAGGCGUCUGACUAGAACGGUUUCGACGGUGAGGGACGAAAGCCAGGGGAGCAAACCGGAUUAGAUACCCGAGUAGUCCUGGCUGUAAACGCUGUGAGCAAGGUGUCGCAUAUCCUCCGAGGAUGUGCGGUGUCGAAAUGAAGAUGUUAAGCUCACCGCCUGGGAAGUAUGGUCGCAAGGCUGAAACUUAAAGGAAUUGGCGGGGGAGCACCACAAGGGGUGCGGCGUGCGGUUUAAUCUAACUCAACGCAGAGAAUCUCACCAGCAGCGACGGCAGGAUGAAGGUCAGGUUGAAGGCCUUACCAGACGAGCCGAGAGGUAGUGCAUGGCCGUCGUCAGCUCGUGCCGUAAGGUGUCCUGUUAAGUCAGGCAACGAGCGAGACCUGUGUCUACAAUUGCUAACAGUUCUUUAAGGUACUGUGCACAUUGUGGAAACUGCCCUCGAAAGGGGGAGGAAGGUGCAGGCUACGGUAGGUCUGUAUGCUCCGAAUCUGCUGGGCUACACGCGCGCAACAAUGGUAAGGACAAUGGGACGCGACUCCGAAAGGAGAAGCUAAUCCUCGAAACCUUAUCUUAGUACAGAUUGAGGAUUGUAACUCAUCCUCAUGACGCUGGAAUCCCUAGUAAUCAGAAGUCAACAUCUUCUGGUGAAUACGUCCCUGCUCCUUGCACACACCGCCCGUCAAACCAUCCGAGCAGAGUUUGGGUGAGACCUGGAUUUAAUUUAGGUCGAAUCUAUACUCAGUGAGGCGGGUUAAGUCGUCACAAGGUA